AAGUCGUAACAAGGUUUCCGUGGGUGAACCUGCGGAAGGAUCAUUAAAGAUUCGACCUUCGGGUCUAUCUUAUCUUCAGCUGUGCGCUUUUGCUGCACGCUGUUGAACUUCACACACCUGUGCACACUUCGGUUGCGGUUGGUUAACUCUAGCUGCUUCCGCUUUUACAUUUAACUACUAAGUCUUGAAUGUCAAAUACAAUAAAAAUAACAA
This 213-nucleotide unclassified non-coding RNA is filed under the name plant metagenome. Its description in RNAcentral is "partial contains small subunit ribosomal RNA and internal transcribed spacer 1". The stretch from base 1 to 46 matches the Rfam family "Eukaryotic small subunit ribosomal RNA", at positions 1786 to 1831 of the family's 1831-position model. The record is from RNAcentral.